UACGUAGGGGGCAAGCGUUGUCCGGAAUCAUUGGGCGUAAAGAGCGCGUAGGCGGCCCGAUAAGUCCGCUGUGAAAGUCAAGGGCUUAACCCUUGAAUGCCGGUGGAAACUGUCGGGCUAGAGUCCGGAAGAGGCGAGUGGAAUUCCUGGUGUAGCGGUGAAAUGCGCAGAUAUCAGGAAGAACACCCGUGGCGAAGGCGGUUCUCUGGGACGGUACUGACGCUGAGACGCGAAAGCGUGGGGAGCGAACAGG
RNAcentral lists this ribosomal RNA (253 nucleotides) under uncultured bacterium. Its description in RNAcentral is "partial 16S ribosomal RNA". It matches the Rfam family "Bacterial small subunit ribosomal RNA", at positions 524 to 776 of the family's 1533-position model. The record is from RNAcentral.